UGCCCCCUGGCCCAGCUGGUUAAGGCGCACGACUGUUAUCAUCCAUCUAACGGCCCAUGGUUCAGUUGGUUAAGGAUUACGCAAUCGUGAGAUCGAGAGUUCGAGCCUCUCGGGGGCAG
This is a non-coding RNA of Mycena maculata, 119 nucleotides long. The record is from the annotation of a GenBank genome assembly. Lineage: Eukaryota; Fungi; Basidiomycota; Agaricomycetes; Agaricales; Mycenaceae.